This 582-nucleotide ribosomal RNA is filed under the name uncultured bacterium. RNAcentral's name for it is "partial 16S ribosomal RNA". It matches the Rfam family "Bacterial small subunit ribosomal RNA", at positions 355 to 932 of the family's 1533-position model. The record is from RNAcentral.
UGGGGAAUUUUGGACAAUGGGCGAAAGCCUGAUCCAGCAAUGCCGCGUGUGUGAAGAAGGCCUUCGGGUUGUAAAGCACUUUUGUCCGGAAAGAAAUCCUUGGCUCUAAUACAGUCGGGGGAUGACGGUACCGGAAGAAUAAGCACCGGCUAACUACGUGCCAGCAGCCGCGGUAAUACGUAGGGUGCAAGCGUUAAUCGGAAUUACUGGGCGUAAAGCGUGCGCAGGCGGUUUGCUAAGACCGAUGUGAAAUCCCCGGGCUCAACCUGGGAACUGCAUUGGUGACUGGCAGGCUAGAGUAUGGCAGAGGGGGGUAGAAUUCCACGUGUAGCAGUGAAAUGCGUAGAGAUGUGGAGGAAUACCGAUGGCGAAGGCAGCCCCCUGGGGCCAAAUACUGACGCUCAUGCACGAAAGCGUGGGGAGCAAAACAGGAUUAGAUACCCUGGUAGUCCACGCCCUAAACGAUGUCAACUAGUUGUUGGGGAUUCAUUUCCUUAGUAACGUAGCUAACGCGUGAAGUUGACCGCCUGGGGAGUACGGUCGCAAGAUUAAAACUCAAAUGAAUUGACGGGGUCAUAGCUG